AAGAAGUGGGGAGCAGCAGACAGACAACAGUCUCGGAGGAAAGUGGGGAUCGUACUGUCAGCAGUUUCAUAUUAGAUUGGAUCUCGCAGCGCUUAACUCCUGUUGUUUUGUAUUAACUGAGUAUCUUAAAAACCUUGCUUCUCUUUGCCUGCAGCAGUUGUCACGGUUACACUGAUGUGUAGUCCAGACCUUUCCCCAACUGAGAAGAUUUUAGGCACAAAACCAAAAACAGGACACGGAAGACCCAGGACUGCUGAGCAGCUAGGAUCCUCCAUCACACAGGAACGGGACAGCAUUGCUCCGCUAAAAGUCCAGCAGCUGCUCUCUGGAGUUCCCAGACUGUUGCUAAAAGAAGAGGCGAUGCUACAUGAUGGGAAACACGCCCCUGACCCAACUCUGUUGGGACAUGUUGUUAUCAACAGAUUCAAAAUUACACUUUUGCAGUUUAAGCACUGAAUGUUUGGAAUGCUUUCUAGCUUAUAUUGUACAUAAAAUAUGGGUUUAUGGGGUUUACAAAGGACAUCAUCCUGCUGUUGUUUACAUUUACACAGAGCAUCCCAACAGCUCUGGAGCUGGGGUUGUAUUUGCUAACAGCACUUCACUGACGGGUUGUUACUAUAUUUGAUAUUUGUAAAGGAUGAUAGCUCUACACACACACACACACACACACACACACACACACACACACACACACACACACACACACACACACACACACAGUGUUGUUGCUAAUAUUAUGUUGUGAAGUUAGUAAAUGCAGUGUCAGACAGCCUCUGACUAUCAUUUAAAAUGAUAUUGAUUGUAAUUAGUUUCUUCAUUGCUCAUUCAUUUAUUUAUAUUUUGAAUAAACUAUGCAGUGUUACGUGCAGGCUGUGUGCAGGCAGGAGUGGUAGUAGGAGGACCCAAUGUGCAGACACUCGGAAGCGGAACGUGAACUCAAAAGGGUAACAAAACUAAGACUCCAAGGAAAACUUACACAAAGAGACCACACAGCAAGAUAAGGGUAGAUCAUGACACCGACAAACUGAAACACAGGGCUUAAAUACACAGAGGGAGCAAUCAGGGAAUGGUUAACAGGAGGGAAACACAGCUGGGGCAAAUCAGGCCCGACGAGACAAAGGAAGCACAACCAGAUGCAUUUACAUGACAGACGGACUUUCAAAGUAAAACAGGAAACAUAACACAGAUUGAAUUUACAGACACAGACUCACAGGCAGGCACUACAGAGGGAACAGAGACGUGGGACCAGGGCAGACACAGACACGGAGAUAUAGCCGAGAGGGGAGACAGCAACUAAGGAUUACACAGAGACAUAAACCAUAAGACAGAACAACUAACAAAGAAACCAAAGACUAGAAAUGAUAAAUAAUAUAAUGAACAGAGAUGGGCGUUACUGUAAUUCGAUUACUUUUUUCAAGUAACGAGUAAAGUAAGGGAUUACUAUUGCAAAAACGGUAAUUAGAUUACGGUUACUUUACUUUCCCGUAGGAACGCUGCGUUACUGCGUUACUAAAACCGUGAUUCUUUGCGAGAAUGUCUCACGACAGUGACGUGUGAAGUUCGUGACAACAGCUGUGUGCAGAUCAACAGUGGAUCAUAUAUCGAUUGUGGGAGAGAGUAUGAGCGUGCAGCGUUUAAAGCGUGGAAGUACUGACCUUACUUUGAGUUUGAUUCCAUAAAAAGUGACAAAAACAUUAGCGUCCGUUGUGCGUGAGAAGAAAACUUCUUUUUACAGCGAAAAAAACCCUAAACUUCCAAGCAAGCACCGAGUAGCUACGACGUGAUGGGAAACUCACAGAGAAACUCGCGGAUUCUUCAACUGACCGCUGCGGCACACCUGCACCAGGGUAAACCUCCGCCUACCCCACUCCUCCUCUUUGAUUUUAUUUAUUUUCUGCUGUGUUUUACUUGCAUCUAUUUGAAAGACUGAGUGUAAACACACACAAAAAAAUAUUUUAUGUGCUGGAAUGUGCAGAAAAUAGGUUUAAAUGUUAAACUAAUUUAUUCAAGUCAGAGAAUGUUGCAUAUAAUUUAAUGUUUGCUUGAUGCAUUAAGUUAAAAGAUUAAAACUAAUAAAACAAG
Molecule: long non-coding RNA, 2082 nt
Organism: Astatotilapia calliptera (eastern happy)
Lineage: Eukaryota; Metazoa; Chordata; Actinopteri; Cichliformes; Cichlidae
Source: Ensembl